RNAcentral lists this long non-coding RNA (1143 nucleotides) under Manihot esculenta (cassava). RNAcentral describes it as "long non-coding RNA (MESC_LNC009004)". Lineage: Eukaryota; Viridiplantae; Streptophyta; Magnoliopsida; Malpighiales; Euphorbiaceae. The record is from RNAcentral.
UAAAAUCUUGAAUGAGAGCAGCCCUUAUUCAGAAUUUACAGAGUUAUAAUUUUAUAUAUUAUAAUUCCUGCAAAUGACAAAAUAUUUCUUCUAUUUCUUUAUUUUGGUAAAUGGUUAGAUUAGAACAUUAUCUUUAUGAUGAUAAUUUAUGUUUUAUUUGAUUAAUGUUUCAAAACCUCACAAAAAAAUACAUAAUCAGGUCUACCCAUGCUAAAAUGGCUGUUGGAAAGUAACUCUCAUUCAUUCGCUUAAGCUUGCAAAAAAACACAAAAAUUGAGCCAAUAACAACACCAGGAACCAUUACAACUCUAGCAACUCAGCUCUCCAAUGGCUUAGCAAGCUUUCCUGCUUCCAUCAUCUGAUUGCAUAUGAGGUCUUAUUAAAUAGGCCCAUGCUUGUUGUAAAGCUCAAUGGUUAGCUUAAUUCCAGAACUUCAAGACAAUAGCAGCUCUCAGAAACAAACAUUUCACAACACCUGCAACAAAUAAAGAAUUGAAAUGAACAAAUAUUGGGUGAGGAUGGCUUGAUGAUUCACCCAAAACAAAAAUUCUCCGAAUGGAAUCAAGAAUUUCUCAAUAAUUCAAUUCAAUUGAUAUCCUCUUUAACAAUUCUCUUAUUUGGAAUGAGAAAAUUCAAUUCUUUUUAACUUAAAAAUAUUUUAUUUUAAAAAAAAGUAGAAAUCUUGUAUGAUUUUGCCAGAAUUCAUUUGAAUUCUUUUCUGAAAUGAAUCAAAAGGCAAGUUUUAUGGUUGAAUCAAAUGCUAGACUCCUGAAAAACCAAAGGUUGAAACAGACGAGUCACUUUAGUUUGUGUGGAGAUACCCAAAAGAUGGCCAAAGUUUUUCGAAUGCACUAUGAAGGUAAAUGCUCUAAUAGAUUCAUGUAUCAGAAUUAUGUUGUCAGCAGAGGUGAUCUUCCACAAAAAGCAGUUUCUUUCUAGAAGCUUUAGGUAAAGAAAUGAUGGCCUAUGGAAUAAAUUGGAAGCUGAGUCGUAGAGAGUCACCAAUGAUGUUUCAGGCAAAAGGACUGCAAAGUGUCAAGGGAACAAGGGGAGGUAGCGAAGCCCGGUAUUUUCUGGAAAUCCCAUCAUUAUGUUCAGAUUUUGUAGAGCUUGACCAGAAGCUCCCUUCACAAGAUUAUCGAU